CUGAUGGUUUGAUGAGAGCUACUGAUGUCAUGAUUGCCGGCAAGGUUGCUGUUGUCUGUGGUUAUGGUGAUGUUGGCAAGGGCUGUGCUGCUGCCAUGAAGCAAGCUGGAGCUCGUGUGAUUGUGACCGAGAUUGAUCCCAUUUGCGCGCUUCAGGCUCUCAUGGAGGGUCUACAGGUCCUGACUCUUGAAGAUGUUAUCUCCGAGGCUGAUAUCUUUGUCACCACCACUGGUAACAAGGACAUUAUCAUGGUUGAUCACAUGAGGAAGAUGAAGAACAAUGCCAUUGUCUGCAACAUCGGUCACUUCGAUAAUGAAAUCGACAUGCUUGGACUUGAGACCUUCCCUGGCGUGAAGCGCAUCACCAUCAAGCCCCAAACUGACAGGUGGGUCUUCCCUGACACCAACUCCGGCAUCAUUGUCCUGGCUGAGGGACGUCUCAUGAACCUGGGAUGUGCCACCGGUCACCCCAGCUUUGUGAUGUCCUGCUCAUUCACCAACCAGGUGAUCGCCCAGCUUGAGCUGUGGAACGAGAGGAAAACCGGCAAGUACGAGAGGAAGGUCUAUGUCUUGCCCAAGCACCUUGAUGAGAAGGUUGCUUCCCUUCACCUUGGCAAGCUAGGAGCUAGGCUUACCAAGCUCUCCAAGGACCAGGCUGACUACAUCAACGUGCCAAUCGAGGGUCCAUACAAGCCUGCUCAGUACAGGUACUGAGAGAUGGAACUUGAGGCAAAACGUGAUUGGAAACGGCGCUAUUGUUUCUUUUGUAUUUUCAUGAUGAUUUGUCCUAUAUUAUUAGGCUUCAAUUUUUUUCCUAGGAUUUGUGUUUUGGUGGUGGGGAAGACAUGGGAGGAAAAUAUAUGAAACGGUCUAUCUUGAAGACCACAUGGGAUUAUCUAAUAAGGUUUUGGAUUGGGGUUGUGUGGGAUAAUAUUGUAGCUGUUGCCAUUUUUCAUUUGAGUUUUCUUGCUGCAGCUUAUCUUCUUUUUAAUCAUGAAAAAGAUUAAAAAAUAACCUUUUUGUUUCACUUGUUGUCUCUCUUUUUGGUUGCCAAUCUUUCUUGGCUCACAUCAUUUUCGUUGCUUGCUUUUGUGCUUUGCCGUUUUAAAAAUUAUUAUAAUUUUCCAACUAUAAUUUUAGAAGUAUUUUUAAAUUGUUUUAAUGUAUUGAUUUUAAAAAUAAAUUUUAAAAAAUAAAAAAAUAUUAUUUUAAUAUAUUUUUAAACAAAAAUUAUUUUGAAAAAAAUAAUAUUUUUAAAUAUUUUGUUUUUUAAAAUAUUUUUUUUACUAGAAAAUUCAUUGAAAUAAUAUAUAUUUUUAUUUUUUAAAAAUUAUUUUUGAUAUUAAUACAUUAAAACUAUAUAUAUAUAUAUCUCUGAAGGCUUUUAUGUGUUUUUGUUUAGAUUCUAUUUUUCAAAGUAAUUUUUUUUUAAAUAAUAUUAAAAUAAAUUUUUUUUAAAUAAUUUUUUUUAAAAUGAGGUGAAAUGCAAUUUCAAAUAGCCUUGAGUAAUAACAAUAUUAUCUUAAAAACUAAAUGACAUACGUAUUUUAUUGUCAAUUUACAGUAAAAUAUAUCUUGAACUACAGUAAAAUCAUAUUUAUGUCAUUUGAUCCAAAAACAAUUAAGCUGAGGUCUUCAUGUUUUUUUUUUUUAUCUUAGUAAAAGUAUAUUUUUUUGCCUCUAAAGUAAACAAAAUAUAGAGUUGUUCACUAAAGGUUUUCUUGACUUUAUAUAAGUUUUAGGAUGUAGAUUUAUUAUUUACUUAUUUAAAUAAAUAAGUUUAAAUACAUGUCUUAUUUUAUGUUAUGAAAUAUCUUCAUUUUAUUUUUUAAAUUUUUUUUGUAAAAAAAUAUAUUAAAAUAAUCUAUAUAUCUGAUUUUUUUUAUGAAAUAAAUUAUAAGCCGCGGAAAGCGGAACUAAAAUCAAAAGGAUCAACAUCAUGGCACUGAAAAUCAAUUGGCUGUAUUGCUGCUAUUUAUUAUAAGAUAUUUUUUAUAAGAUAUUUUCUGACUUGUGUUAUAUUGAAUGGUAAAAUGAGCUGUGCCUCCGUGCUGCAACGCACUGUGGGUUUCUGUACUUUUCCAGUAUAAACUUUAUCAAGGCGAUGCUGUGAUGGAGGAAGAAUGGAGUAGGGGACAAGGGAGUGGGUGUUUGUGGUUUGUUUUUCUUAAUUAUUUCCAUGUUCCGGUGUUGGGUAGGUUUCGCAUUUUAUUGAUGUUAGUUCGAGAGCUGAUUUAUUUCUUUAAAAAAGAGGUUGGAAGUAGAUUUUUCUGGAAAGAUUUUCACUGCAAAAAAAACAUUUGAUGAACGUUAUUUGUUGCUCGUUGCUAUCCUGACUAGCAACUAAUUUUAUUCUUUUUCAAAAUAAGAUAAAGAAUCCUCUGUUUUUUUUUUUUUUUUAUUAAAACCAAUCGAGGAAGAUACACAUUAGCAAGUUGGCUACGGAAACCAUAGUUACCAAAUCUGAUUUGGGGUGGAUGCAGUCAAGAAGUCGGGUUUUAGAUGACAUGGGUUACCCCAUAAAGAUUAAAAAUAUUAUGUUUGAAAUUUUAAUAUUUUAAACGAAAAAAAAUAAUACAGUUGAAUGUAGGCUAUAAAAAAAAUAAAAUGUAGUAUAUUUAUCUCAUAUUAAAAAGUUAAUAAAGAAUCCAUGUGAAUAUAAGUUAUAUUUUUUUUUAAAAAAAAAUCAAUAUUGAUGUAAGAUAUAUAAAAAAAUGUGAAAUGUAAUGCAGUUAUUUCACAUCAAAAAAUUAAAAAACAAUCCUUGUAGAUAUAACUAUAUAUAAUUAUCUCACAUCGAUAAAUUAAAAAACAAUAUAUGUGGAUGUAGACUAUAAAAAAUAUGUUUAGUUAUUCCAUAUUGAAAAGUUAAGAAAUAAUCUAUGUGAUGUAAGUUAUAUAUAUAUAGUUAUUACACAUCGAAAAGUUAAGAAACAAUCCAUGUAAAUAUACAUUAUAAAAAAAUUAUGUAUGAUUAAAUAUUCAUAAAUUAUUUUUAUAUUUUUUGAAUUUAUUAAAAGAAUAAAAUAAAAUGUAAAAAAUAAAAUGUAAAAAAAAAGAAGUCAAGCCCCACCCUAGUUGCACCAGGUCACAAAGUUUUAGGUUUACCCAACAACUCGUACUAGUUUAACCAAACUAAUUAUAAAUCUGGAUUUUUAUGAUUUAAAAACUAGUCAAGACUUUUAGUCAUCUAGAACCUGAUAGUUCAGCCUGAGUUUCAUAAUCAUGGUUGAAACAUUAAUUGAUGUUUCAAGGCUGGCUUAAAAAUUAAAGGUCAGUUAUGCAUACUUGACAAGUAUUUUUUUUAUUAAUAUAAUAUCCGAAUUAGUUUAUAUAUACCCAUUAGUGUUCUUUUCAGGGUCCAUUGGCUGCCUUUCUGCUUAGUAUGAAAAUCGGAUCUGUUUUCCCUUUUAUCUGAAGGCAACGAAGACAAAACAUGUCGUGGAGACUCGAAAUGGUUCAAUGCAAUUCUUCAAUUGUCUUUUAAUAAUGUCCAUGGCCUGUUCCUGGGCACGGAAAUCGGAAAGCA
Molecule: long non-coding RNA, 3528 nt
Filed under: Populus trichocarpa (black cottonwood)
Lineage: Eukaryota; Viridiplantae; Streptophyta; Magnoliopsida; Malpighiales; Salicaceae
Description: long non-coding RNA (PTRI_LNC000322)
Source: RNAcentral